GGACGAACGCUGGCGGCGUGCUUAAUACAUGCAAGUCGAACGGACCAAUCCAGUAGUUACUAUUGGGAAAGGUUAGUGGCGGACGGGUGAGUAACGCGUGGGUAAUCUGCCCCUAAGUCCGGGAUAACAGAGCGAAAGUUCCGCUAAGACCGGAUACUCUUUACCAGUUGCAUAACGGGUAAAAGGAAAGGUAACGCUUAGGGAUGAGCCCGCGUCCCAUUAGCUAGUUGGUGAGGUAAGAGCUCACCAAGGCGACGAUGGGUAGCCGGCCUGAGAGGGUGGACGGCCACACUGGGACUGAGACACGGCCCAGACUCCUACGGGAGGCAGCAGUAGGGAAUUUUCCGCAAUGGGCGAAAAAGCCUGACGGAGCAACGCCACGUGAGGGACGAAGGUCUUCGGAUCGUAAACCUUUGUCAUCGAGGACGAUAAUGACGGUACUCGAGGAGGAAGCCCCGGCUAACUACGUGCCAGCCGCUGC
RNAcentral lists this ribosomal RNA (481 nucleotides) under uncultured bacterium. RNAcentral's name for it is "bacterial SSU rRNA". It matches the Rfam family "Bacterial small subunit ribosomal RNA", at positions 27 to 518 of the family's 1533-position model. The record is from RNAcentral.